This is a non-coding RNA of Vicugna pacos (alpaca), 183 nucleotides long. The record is from RefSeq and is a predicted model, not a curated record. Lineage: Eukaryota; Metazoa; Chordata; Mammalia; Artiodactyla; Camelidae.
UAGUUUUUUAAGGAAUCUCCUUACUGUUUUCUAUAACAGCUGCACUAAACUAUAUUCUCACUAACACUGUAGGAGGGUUCCCUUUUCUCCACACCCUCUCCAGCAUUUAUCGUUUGUGGACUUUUGAAUGAUGGCCAUUCUGACUGGUAUGGGGUGAUACGUCAUUGUAGUUUUGAUGUGAAU